This 484-nucleotide ribosomal RNA is filed under the name uncultured bacterium. RNAcentral's name for it is "partial 16S ribosomal RNA". It matches the Rfam family "Bacterial small subunit ribosomal RNA", at positions 30 to 507 of the family's 1533-position model. The record is from RNAcentral.
AUUGAACGCUGGCGGCAGGCCUAACACAUGCAAGUCGAGCGGAUGAAGGGAGCUUGCUCCUGGAUUCAGCGGCGGACGGGUGAGUAAUGCCUAGGAAUCUGCCUGGUAUUGGGGGAUAACGUCUGGAAACGGGCGCUAAUACCGCAUACGUCCUGAGGGAGAAAGUGGGGGAUCGUCGGACCUCACGCUAUCAGAGGAGCCUAGUUCGGAUUAGCUAGUUGGUGGGGUAAAGGCCUACCAAGGCGACGAUCCGUAACUGGUCUGAGAGGAUGAUCAGUCACACUGGAACUGAGACACGGUCCAGACUCCUACGGGAGGCAGCAGUGGGGAAUAUUGGACAAUGGGCGAAAGCCUGAUCCAGCCAUGCCGCGUGUGUGAAGAAGGUCUUCGGAUUGUAAAGCACUUUAAGUUGGGAGGAAGGGCAGUAAGUUAAUACCUUGCUGUUUUGACGUUACCAACAGAAUAAGCACCGGCUAACUUCGUG